This 460-nucleotide ribosomal RNA is filed under the name uncultured bacterium. RNAcentral describes it as "partial 16S ribosomal RNA". It matches the Rfam family "Bacterial small subunit ribosomal RNA", at positions 338 to 795 of the family's 1533-position model. The record is from RNAcentral.
CCUACGGGUGGCAGCAGUGAGGAAUAUUGGUCAAUGGACGAGAGUCUGAACCAGCCAAGUAGCGUGAAGGAUGACUGCCCUAUGGGUUGUAAACUUCUUUUAUAUGGGAAUAAAACGUUCCAAGUGUGGGAUUUUGUAUGUACCAUAUGAAUAAGGAUCGGCUAACUCCGUGCCAGCAGCCGCGGUAAUACGGAGGAUCCGAGCGUUAUCCGGAUUUAUUGGGUUUAAAGGGAGCGUAGGUGGGAUGUUAAGUCAGUUGUGAAAGUUUGCGGCUCAACCGUAAAAUUGCAGUUGAAACUGGCAGUCUUGAGUACAGUAGAGGUGGGCGGAAUUCGUGGUGUAGCGGUGAAAUGCUUAGAUAUCACGAAGAACUCCGAUUGCGAAGGCAGUUCACUGGACUGCAACUGACACUGAGGCUCGAAAGUGUGGGUAUCAAACAGGAUUAGAUACCCCAGUAGUC